GACGAACGCUGGCGGCGUGCCUAGUACAUGCAAGUAGAACGCUGAAGGAGGAGCUUGCUUCUCUGGAUGAGUUGCGAACGGGUGAGUAACGCGUAGGUAACCUGCCUGGUAGCGGGGGAUAACUAUUGGAAACGAUAGCUAAUACCGCAUAAUAGUAGAUGUUGCAUGACAUUUGCUUAAAAGGUGCAAUUGCAUCACUACCAGAUGGACCUGCGUUGUAUUAGCUAGUUGGUGAGGUAACGGCUCACCAAGGCGACGAUACAUAGCCGACCUGAGAGGGUGAUCGGCCACACUGGGACUGAGACACGGCCCAGACUCCUACGGGAGGCAGCAGUAGGGAAUCUUCGGAAAUGGACGGAAGUCUGACCGAGCAACGCCGCGUGAGUGAAGAAGGUUUUCGGAUCGUAAAGCUCUGUUGUAAGAGAAGAACGAGUGUGAGAGUGGAAAGUUCACACUGUGACGGUAUCUUACCAGAAAGAGACGGCUAACUACGUG
RNAcentral lists this ribosomal RNA (495 nucleotides) under uncultured bacterium. Its description in RNAcentral is "partial 16S ribosomal RNA". It matches the Rfam family "Bacterial small subunit ribosomal RNA", at positions 28 to 507 of the family's 1533-position model. The record is from RNAcentral.